UCCCGACUUGCGAAGGAGGAGUUGAUGC
RNAcentral lists this small RNA (28 nucleotides) under Bombyx mori (domestic silkworm). RNAcentral's name for it is "ovarian small RNA-27290". Lineage: Eukaryota; Metazoa; Arthropoda; Insecta; Lepidoptera; Bombycidae. The record is from RNAcentral.